Ficedula albicollis (Collared flycatcher) is the source of this 629-nucleotide long non-coding RNA. RefSeq lists it as uncharacterized. The record is from RefSeq and is a predicted model, not a curated record. NCBI's taxonomy places the organism in Eukaryota, Metazoa, Chordata, Aves, Passeriformes, Muscicapidae. The transcript has 4 exons.
GCGGGGCGGCGGGAGCGGAGCUGCUCUGGUGCCUCAGUGGUACCUCAAACGGGACCGCGACCGGCAUCGGCCUCUCCCGGCGGGGCCAGCGGCAAGCCCUGCGUCCCUCAGGCGCAGGGAACCGAUGCUGGUUGAGUCGGCUCCACAGCUGCGCCUUCUCCCGCCAUGUUACGGCGAGGCUCCCUCAGGGCCGGUGCCGCUUCCCCCCCGUCCCCAGCGCUGAGCGGCGGCAGGACACGAGCGAGGUGAGGGUGAGGGAAUGGCGCUUCAACCUCAGACCCGGCCCCGAGCGAGCAUGGCAGUGGAUAAAAACAUGAGGUGACCGGCAUGGUGUGACUGCAGAAGUGAAGGGUGAUCCUUCAGAAAAAGGCUGCCCAAGCAAGCUUCAGCCACCUUUCUGACUUGAAACAGCAGCAGUGUGACCAGGCUUUGGGUGUGGCUGAACCGUGUCCCCGAGGCCUGGAGGAGCCCCAGAGCAGAUCAUUCUUGAGCUGCAGAAUGUCUGACAAACUGGUUGGCAGCAUCCACGUCUGAUGGUUUUGGAGAUUCCUAAAACUUGAUCAUCUGUGUUUUCUCUACAUGGUUAAGAAUAAUUUAAAUUUAAAAAAACAACUAAAUAAAGAUGCCAC